Molecule: long non-coding RNA, 4016 nt
Organism: Scylla paramamosain (green mud crab)
Lineage: Eukaryota; Metazoa; Arthropoda; Malacostraca; Decapoda; Portunidae
Exons: 2
Source: RefSeq, a predicted model, not a curated record
GGGGAAGGUUUAGCUGAAAGGGGGUGUAGGUGAGGUGGGGGUAGUCAUGAGGGACGGGAAAGGCCAAGAGCAAUGGGAAAUGGCACCGGUCGAGAGGUUGGAUGGGCUGGUGUUACGAAGGAGUUUAGGUGAUGUUGGGGUUGAAUGUCUGGGUAUGUGUUGGGAUGUGCGACAAGGUGUUGGUGGUUGUGAGUGCGUGAAGGUAAUUCGUUGGAGGGAAAUGUUAUAUACGAGGAUUGUCAUACGAGUUAUAUACGAGUGUUGUGUGUGCAUAGUGGGUCGAAGGAAUUGGAGGACGAAAUAGGACAUAUCGAGAAGGAAGAUGUAGAAAUAUUAGGAGAUCCGCACCUGCUACAAAUCCACUCGAUACUAUUGUUAAUGAAUCCAUUGCAUAUCUGUGUAAACGAUCCGAUGCAGAUGACAUGAUACCAACCGGCAUUCUCGGACCGGUCACAGCAGAUAUCACACUAGAUGGCCCUUUGUCCCCACUUAACUCCUUUGGUAAAGCUUAUCCAGGGAUACUUAGGGUGAUAAGGAUUCGGAUUAACGAUAGCACCGGUAUCACCACAGAGGAGCAGCAGGAGAAGGGUGGCGUGUCUUGAAUGUGUGUUUGUAUUGUUGUGGUGUGUUUUGGAGCAGUGUGGAGCGGCUCGGGCAAGUGUUAUGUUGGCACCUGUGGGUGACUUGGAUGUGUGGUGCGGGAAUGUAGCUGUUAUUACUUGUGCAUGGUAUAUUAGUGCGUGUAGUGUAAGUGCCAAGAGUACUCUGGUUACUGUGCAGGAGGGCUGUAAUGUUAUGUAGCGUCUAUACUGGCGUGUUACAUGAGAACAUAAGAAAAUAAGGGAAGCUGCAAGAAUUCACCAGGUCUUUACGUGGCAGUCCCUGAUGAAACAUACCACCUAUCAUCCCCAUCCAUAAAUUUGUCUGAUCCUCUUUUAAAGCUCCGUAAUGACUCACCAUUAACAACCUGAUUAUUGAGUCCAUUCCAUUCAUCUACCACUCUAUUUGAAAACCAGUUCCUUCCUAUCUCUUGAACCUAAAUUCUUCAAGCUUGAACCCAUUAUUUCUUGUUUUAUCCUGAUUACUGAUCCUGAGAAUUUUGCUUACGUCACCCUUACUGUAACACCUACAACACUUAAAGAUUUCUGUCAGGUCCUCUCUUAACCUACGUCUCUUUAAGGAAUGUAUAUUUAAUAGCUUCAGUCUCGUUUCGUAAGGAUUACCCCUCAUCAUUCUCCUUAGUACUGAUUCUAAAAAAACUUUCAUCCUUCCUGUAAUAUGCGGACUAGAACUGCACCACAUAGUCUAGAUGAGGUCUGACUAGCGCCAAAUAUAACUUUAAUAUUAUUUCGGGACUUCUGCUUUUAACACUCAUAAAAAUUAAUCCUAAUGCCCGAUUUGCUUUAUUUUUGGCCUCUAUACAUUGUUUUUCUUUGACGAAGAUCAGAGCUAACUAUAGCUCCUAAAUCUUUUUCUUUCCCUGAAAUCACCAGAGCUUCGUUGUUUAUUGUGUACCUACUGUGUGGGUUUCCUCUACCUACGCUGAGUACUUUGCAUUUGUUAAUAUUAAACUGCAUUUACCAUCUGUCUCUCCAUUCGUUCAUCCUAUCCCAGUCAGCCUGCAAGGCGAUGGCAUCCGAAUCUGACAUAAUUAACCUACCUGUUUUCGUGUCAUCCGCAAAUUUACUAUCACCACAAGUAACCUCACUAUCUAAGUCAUUAAUAUAUAUUAAAAACAACAAUGGUUCUAAAACUGAUCACUGUGGCACCCCACUAAUCGUUUGUCUUAUUACGGCCCUCGUACCCGCCUCGCCAACCACUAAUCUCUCCAACUAACCAUCGGCUUCGAAUACCGUCUCGACCACACCGUGGCGGUAUCAUAAAGACGAAGCUUUGGAAACACGUCUCGACUCACGUCUCGAUCGAGCUAACCAAGCUGACAACUGACUCCAUCUCCACGCUUUGGCAGUCUCACUCGCUUCUCGGGGCCGGAGGCAUACUUCCGCCUGCUGCCUGGCUUUGGGUAAGAAGACGAGACGAACACGAAAACGAACACGUACACUCGCAUUCUUCGUUAGUACGUUUGAGUUACGUACGUUUGUGUUGUAUUUUGGGUAUAUUUUUGUUUUCCUUUAUUGCCAAUUAUUUCAUAUAUGUUACAUACAUUUUGUUGUUUAUUAACUUGUAUGUUUCGUCACCUUUGGUCUCCUUUAUUACACACUAUGUAUUUCAGCCGGCUUGACCCAUUGUUUUUCGCUCAUAUUUUCUAAAUGAUCAUUCCCAUCAGCAUGAUAUAUUAGCACGGCCUAAUUCACACCCUGCCCUAGUUUUUGACGUUAUAGUGCAUUCACAGGUGUAUUUAAUUACGGUGUUUACUCUCGACUUAAUGUGUCGUAGCCAACACCCGUGAAGCAAUUCGAACAGGUGAAGUUGUGACGUCAUCACAAACUACGUCGUCUACUCCAUACUCCUCCCCUUCCCUGCCACUAUCACACUCGUUUCCUUCUCCCCCUCCGCCCCCCACGUAAGGUUUACGUUAUCCUGGUGAGUCAGGGGCAGCAGGCAAUAUUGGUUUAAUUCCCUCAUUGUAUGAGGAGAGUGGCGCAUCGCUGCCAUGUCCAGCAUGCCAUGUUGCAGGUGUGGUUGUAAAACCGCAAUUGCAUUGCGACUUUUACACUAUUCCAAUCGAGAGAAAGCAGCCAAGAAAGUUUGGACAGGCGUUAUGAUCGUGUCGCAGCGGCCAUGGGGAUGACAGUGAAUGCUGUGCGGAUGAUGAAGUACAGUACGAGCUCACGUUCUGGAUCACCAACACCGUCUGUGACAGCCACUGCCCCGACAACACCGCCUAGAAAACCGACGUCCAUCGCCGCCACGGCCGUCUUUAACAAUUUAGCCGUUGGUGCCAUUCGCCGCCAUGAACACUGCAAAUUUGCUGUCAAACAACCUGUCACUGUUGGUAUGUUGAGUGAAGAGUUAGAGGGCGGAUAUCAUCCCGGAGGAAACCUCACAGACGACCGUGUGGCGAUUACUUCACAUCAUGGAGUUCAGGUAUAAGACAUAACAAAUGUACGUGAAGAAGGAAACAUGACAUCACAAAGGAAAAUGUACGUGAAGAAGGAAACAUUAGAUGUUGUGUCGUCACGUUAACGCUCUUCGAUCACUCGGGAAUCAUCGGAAGGAGGGGAGACGGGUGGUUUACGUCGACGAGGCGUGGUUGACUACCCGGAUGCACACGGUAAAGAGUGGGUGGACACAACACCGGUACCACCUUCAGCCGUCAACCUGGGAAGGGUGAGCGCUUUGUGAUAUUAGCAGGUGGCACAGAUGAUGAAUUCAUUGACGAAUCAUUUCUGUGCUACCCUGCAAAGAACAAAACCGGAGACUACCAUGGUGAAAUAAACAGCGCCCUAUUCAUUCGCUGGGUGACAUCACAGCUUCUGCCGGCGCUCGCUGGGUCAUCGGUGCUGGUGCUGGACAACGCACCCUACCACAGUCAGCUGACCGAAGAGACCCGUUGUCCACCACUGAUACAAGAAAAGCGGAGAUCGUGAAAUGGCUGGAGUGUCGCAGCCUACCAUUCCCACCACAUGCUGCGCCCCCUGAGUUGCUGCUGAUCCGCAAGGAGAACCGGCCCGAGCCACGCUACACGGUUGACGAAAUUAUCCGAUCAUGGGAUCAUGAGGUCAUCCAGUUGCCACCUGCUCAUCCAGAGUUAAAUGCCAUCGAACAAGUGUGGGGCUGUAUGAAGCGACAUGUGCGUUCAACGUCGCAGCGGUUCACUCGGGCAGACCUGCAAGCGCGGCUCCAGGAGGCAAAGCUUAUCGCAACCAAUGAGGUGUGGGCGGGUGCUGUGAGAAGGUCCAGAUCGUUCGAGGAAGAGUAACGGUCAUCGGACAACAUACAUGGUGUGGAACCCAUCAACAUCAUCACCAUCGAUAGCGAUGACGAGGAUGAACUGUUUAUCCACAGUGAUAUGGAAUGAAAUAAAAUGGAUGUUUUUAUUGUCAUAAUUUCCC